Molecule: long non-coding RNA, 242 nt
Filed under: Gossypium barbadense (sea-island cotton)
Lineage: Eukaryota; Viridiplantae; Streptophyta; Magnoliopsida; Malvales; Malvaceae
Description: long non-coding RNA (GBAR_LNC016029)
Source: RNAcentral
GCAUUGUUGACUGAAGCUCUGGACGCACCCCUAUUACUUGCUCCAACUCCUGGAUUCCUCUGUGGUCUGCCUUUAGUGGGAGCAUUUCCCGAUCUUGCACUCGGUAUUACUUCCCUUUUAACUGUUUCGGUACAAUCCCGAAUAAAAUGAUUUAGUGCACCACAUCUGAAACAAGCAUUUUCAUUUGCUCGGCACUCACCGAGAUGACGUCUACCACAUUGAGCACACUCCGGUCUAGGUGG